CAAAAAAUGUAUAAUUUUCUUAUUCAAAAUCGCCUACAGCAUUUUAAAUGAGGAAACCUAAACUAUUAAGAAAAAAAUUGUUCACAUUUUCAAUGCAUAGGCAAAGACGUGUCGAAAUAUUCAUUAUGUGUGUACAGAAUUCCCUGAGUUAGUAGGGCUCUACAGAGACAGUUAGUAAGUGAAUGCAUUACACUGUCAAUAUUAGGAUUUUUUUUCUAAAGGAGAUGAAACUAUCAUGUAUGAUACUCAAGUGAUGGAUACACAACAGCAUGCAUUUGUCAAGACCCAUACAACUUCACAGCACAAAGUUUGAAUUUAAUAUACGCAAAUUUAAAAAAUUAUUUGAAAGGUUGGGAGUUCUCAAAUGAAAUGCAUACUGUGACAAAAGAAUCUAACUGCAUAUCAUGUACAAAACAAUCUCACUAAAAAAGUAAGGAGAAAAGGUUCUGGCUUAAGAAAGUUUGAAAAUGAGUGGAGUCUGUAAGACUAACAGCAAAUAAACUUCAUGUAAGUAUU
This 516-nucleotide non-coding RNA is filed under the name Pongo abelii (Sumatran orangutan). The record is from RNAcentral. Lineage: Eukaryota; Metazoa; Chordata; Mammalia; Primates; Hominidae.